RNAcentral lists this non-coding RNA (144 nucleotides) under Cuculus canorus (common cuckoo). RNAcentral describes it as "Eukaryotic large subunit ribosomal RNA". It matches the Rfam family "Eukaryotic large subunit ribosomal RNA", at positions 2623 to 2763 of the family's 3401-position model. The record is from Rfam by way of RNAcentral. Lineage: Eukaryota; Metazoa; Chordata; Aves; Cuculiformes; Cuculidae.
GACUGGGGUGGUACACCUGUCAAAGCGUAAUGCAGGUGUCCUAAGGCGAGCUCAGGGAGGACGGAAACCUCCCACGGAGCAGAAGGGCAAAAGCUCGCUUGAUCUUGAUUUUCAGUACAAAUACAGAUUGCCCCAAUAUCAAGG